ACGUUACCAGGCAACGAACGUAAAUUUACACACGUGACAGCCGCCCUCCUAAUGACUCAAAACAAACCUCCACUCCACUUUGAGGAUAUUAUUUUGUUUCUGCAGCACAGAGAACGCUCGAUCAUGCCUAAAUGUAGGUUACAAGUCGCUCUCUUUGGAAGGCUGAAACACUGUUUACCUUUCGGGUCCAGCUCCACGUGGAUGAUGUUUCCCAUAACAGACGUGUCGUGGAGUGACUGCACGGCCAAUUUGGCGGCUUUCACGUUCUCAAAAACAACUUUGGCAAUUCCCAAGUGCUUUUUAUUCUUCGGAUUAUACAAGAUCUCCACCUGCUCGAUGUCUCCGUAUUUCUUGCACAUGUCGUGCUCGGGCAAUUGGCUGGUUAACAGCGGCAGCUCAGCGGGCCAAUCAGAGCGCAGCAGCAGUGGAGCUGUCUGCUAUUAGAAGCACGGCUCAGGAGUCCUUCAACAGAGAGCAGAGAGAGGGGGCUGAGCGCUCUCGGCAGCCAUUUUCCUAAAACAGGACUCAAUGGCCUAUAUGGGUUUCCUUUGUUCCAAAAGGGAUCUUUACACUUGAUUUCCUCAUCUCUCACGGACUAUGAUAAAACUAUGAUUCCUCCUUUUAAAGGAUUGAGAAGAAGGAAGAGAAUGUACUGGAUGUAAUACCCUGUGACAUUUUGAGCCUUUUUUCCUCUGCCUGGAAUCCAUCUUUGUCUUAACUAGGUCAUGGCACACCCAUAUAAUUAUAUUUCUUGAGUAAAAAAGAAAUCAAAUGUUUUGAAUAAACAGCAUUAUUGUUUUGGAGAUGUAACUAAAGGAAAAACACAGUGACAGUGAGAAUGUGUAAUGACUGGUUGUGGGCAUUGCACUUAUGGCCUUGUAGGAUAAGAGUAGCAAUGAGUAAGUUCAACUCUUUUAUCAUUCUAAAAGUUUUGAUAAUGUAUCCAUGUAACUGUGAGGCAUGCAAGUACUGUAAGUAAAAUUAUUUCCUGUCAUUUUAUUCAUUGAGCUAUCACUUUAAUCAAAGAAAUGUUGGCACCUAAAAAAGCCUCCUUAGUUAAUAUGUUCACUGCAUGCUGAUAUAUAAAGUAUAAAUCUCACAGUACAGAUCAGACCUAACUCCACAAAUGACAGAAAGCAGGCCAUGGACAUCUAAUGGCAUAUUGUAAAUUAGUUUACUGUGCUGCUUGUAGUUCUGACUGUUGAUUGAUAACCCUAUUUCUUUGAUUAAUGACUUUAAACAUGUCCUCUCACUACAGCAACGUUUAACACCCUGGUGGCUUGUGCUGUACCCUACCUACAGCUGUGGAGACAACCUCAAGCACGAUUAGGUUUGUGCUGUCCAUUUGCCAUUUAAGAACCAAAUGCAUCCAAAGUGUAAACGUCUGGCUUGACCUUGCUUCGAUGGCAUAUUUAAAUGUCUAAAUAAGCCUAUUCAAGUGGCCCUUUAGCGUUUUGUACAGUUAAAAAAAUAGACCGUCACACAGAGGAAGCAGAUGGAGGGAAAGCUCUUAUGUUAAAAAAUAUUUACCUCAGCACUUUGGUGAAAUGCAGUUAACAGGCCUAAACGCAGGGACAGGAGGACUGUUUUCAGCUCCAUCUUCGGAUCCUUUAAUAAUGGCAUUAAUAAGGGGUGGGAAAGCGUCUCCUGCAAAGGAAGGAAUCCAUUAGCACGAAAGAAAGCUCUUUUGAAAACUUUUUGAUCAGUGGCAGCAGGCAUUGCUUCUCAGCCAGCGAAUAUGCAUCUUCAAGCAUCAUCUGUGUGGGCAAUAUGCAAACCAUCUCCUCUCUCUCCUUGAAGACAGGAUUGCAGUCAAGCAUAAGCCUCUUCUAUUUCGACAUUUCUAACUGAGCAGCAUCACAUAAAAACAAAAGGAAAUGUUUUUGUCGAAAGGUAAUGGAUUUUUUAAAGCUAUUUCACUUUAACAGUUAUAUGCCUACGUGUCAUAUAACAGCACAGACAACACGAACGACAAUUAAUCUUGGUUAAAACGUUAUUAUCAGAACAAGGCUGUAUUAUUGUGUGCAAUUUUACUUUAAAAAACACAUUUUGUGAUAUUGCAAACUUACAGUUCGUAUAGAAAUACAUGUAAUCCAACUAUUAAACGAGUAAAUAAUUUUCAUAGGGAUACUUUUAUAUAUAUUUACUACUUCCCUUUUCGAAAAAUAACUAUAGGUGUUAGAAAUCUACUCUUGCACUGUGGUUUCUCUGCUGUUCUCUGUCUCAAAAUGGCUUCUUUACAGACAAAGGGGAGCAGUGUGCUGUAUAAUGUUGCUGCGCCAUAACUGGGUGAGGCUCGUUCACUCGAAGAGAGGAUAUUUUUUCGGAGGACGUUUUCUUUGCUGAUUCAUCUGGCAGUGUUUAAAGCGACCGACACAUGCAGCGGGAUUUUACUCGGUUUUGUAGGUUUCCUGAGAAGUCGUCUUAAAUAAGAAGAAAAACAGUGGACGGUGCUUGUGUGGAAUGAAACGUUCACAGGGUUGCGUAUUCAGGCUGACGCGCCCUAACGACGGUAAUCCCAGAGCUCUGGACGUUUGCCAUGAGAGCUCGAGCGAGUUGAUGCACCCCCACACUGCCAUAUAAGGUCAUGAGGAAUCUGCGGUGGUUUGUAUCCGGGCGAAAAUAACACAGGGGUGCCUCAGACUGCUGUGUGCGCUCUCUCGUUCCAGAAUACAGUCGAUGGUUGAGUUUGCACUCAGAUUUGAAACAACAAACUAAGACACGUUUCUGUAUUUUAUUCGAUAAAGGAGUUAUAAAUAGACGAUGGGGGAGACUUAAUUUGUGUAAGUUAAUAAGCUCUUCUUGUGCGCCACUUGGUUGGACUCAUUUUCAGCUGUGCGCGUGUGUGGUGUGAGUGAGGACAGCUGGUGUGUCGGGCCUGUUUUUCCAGUUAUCCACUCUGCCAAGGGCGCGCACUCCUCCAUUAGCUGGUCACGAGGCUGCAAACAGCAUUCCUUCAUCUAUCUUUCCUUUAUGCUACAACAUUCUUAGUUUAACGGAGAUAACAUUAUGAAGUAACUUUUGGGUGCGUAGAAGAUGUGGUUUUGAGAAACAUUUUGCGUUCAAAUCAGUGAGGGUAUUUAUAGGCCUUUGUUUCGAGGUUAAAAAAACAACCUCCCCUGUGGGUUGCGCCAUUCAGCUUUGCGCGCGGCAGACAGACUGGAAUAUUCCACACAGAGGAUUGGCCUCUCUUCAUCUGGACAGCUGUUUCUGCACGACGACAAACUUUAAAACCAUUUUUAAACUAUUUAAGCUUUGAUUACAAUUGAUGAACAUGGCUUACACACUUAUGGACAUUUCUUACACCUACAGGAUCCUUUUAUAGGCUACCUUGUUUUAAAUAGGCUGCCAGUUUCAUGCCAAGUAAAAAAAAAACAAAAAAAAAACACUUUAGAAUCUUUAUUAAACCUUUUUAUAUCGUUUGCAACUCCACACGGUAUUGUGGAAGCAUACAGGGCAUUAGAGAACGGUUUGUAUAUUCCUGAGGAGCCAGAGUAAUCUGGCACACUGCUACAUGACAUUUUCUCUCUGUAUUUCUUUGUGUCCAGGCUGAAGGAUUGUUCAAUGGAUUAAACCUGGUGUCUUCUUCGCUUUGUAUUUAAUGAUUAUUUAUAUUGGCUUAUCCAAGGAUUCAUGAAGCAGAUUGGUGGUACUGUACUCCUUGGUUUUCCUUCCUCCUUGCUCUUUACAUCUUUGCAUGUCUAAUAUAUAAUCAACUAUAUUUCAGUGUCAUUUAGUCACUAUUUUAUCAUCUGUCUGUUUUUAUGAUACAUUUAAAUAAAUAUUAUUUACAUACA
Notolabrus celidotus (New Zealand spotty) is the source of this 3797-nucleotide long non-coding RNA. RefSeq lists it as uncharacterized. The transcript is spliced from 2 exons. The record is from RefSeq and is a predicted model, not a curated record. Lineage: Eukaryota; Metazoa; Chordata; Actinopteri; Labriformes; Labridae.